Molecule: transfer RNA, 87 nt
Filed under: Sideroxyarcus sp.
Lineage: Bacteria; Pseudomonadati; Pseudomonadota; Betaproteobacteria; Nitrosomonadales; Gallionellaceae
Description: tRNA-OTHER
Source: RNAcentral
GGCGCAGCAGCACGGGAGUGAUGUGUAAUUUGAAAUGAGUAAGAGUGUGGACGAACGGUGGCAGUUCGAUUCUGUCAUGCGCCACCA